Non-coding RNA from Pelobates cultripes (western spadefoot toad), 463 nucleotides. The record is from the annotation of a GenBank genome assembly. NCBI's taxonomy places the organism in Eukaryota, Metazoa, Chordata, Amphibia, Anura, Pelobatidae.
CUUCAACACUUCAAAACAGUGUCAGCUUUUUUUGUGCAACAUUUGACUUUUUGUUUAAAACUUCUGUGAUGAAUGCGUUGCUGGUAAAUGUAAAAUGGCGUUGAUAAACUAAAAGAAUAAUAAAGUAAUAAAUAAUGAAAGGCAAUAAUAGUUUAAUAUCAAAUACAUAAAAAGAAGCAGGACCGCAGUUUACUCAAUAAGACUUAAACAUUUGAAUUGUCAUGAAUUGUGUGCAGUUAGGUGGCGUACAAUUGUUCAAAAAGAAAAACGUUUGACGUUUUGAAGUUCUCUUCUCUUUUUUUUUAAACAUAAACUGUCUGGUUGGGUUAAAGAACGCUCAUUAGACCUUAUUACUUUUUACAUUGAAUUUUGUGCUUUGUCCUUCGACACAAACAGAUUUCGUUUGUUAUCCUUGCCAUACAUUCAAGCUUUACAACUCAUCUUGUUGAGACUGGGUCAGAGG